This 72-nucleotide transfer RNA is filed under the name Richelia sp. RM2_1_2. RNAcentral's name for it is "tRNA-Ile". It matches the Rfam family "tRNA". Rfam says of the family: Transfer RNA (tRNA) molecules are approximately 80 nucleotides in length. Their secondary structure includes four short double-helical elements and three loops (D, anti-codon, and T loops). Further hydrogen bonds mediate the characteristic L-shaped molecular structure. tRNAs have two regions of fundamental functional importance: the anti-codon, which is responsible for specific mRNA codon recognition, and the 3' end, to which the tRNAs corresponding amino acid is attached (by aminoacyl-tRNA synthetases). tRNAs cope with the degeneracy of the genetic code in two manners: having more than one tRNA (with a specific anti-codon) for a particular amino acid; and 'wobble' base-pairing, i.e. permitting non-standard base-pairing at the 3rd anti-codon position. Lineage: Bacteria; Bacillati; Cyanobacteriota; Cyanophyceae; Nostocales; Nostocaceae. The record is from RNAcentral.
GCCCGUAUAUUUUAAUGGUGAGAAAAACAUGCUUAUACCAUGUGAGUGUAGGUUCGAUUCCUGCUAUGGGUA